Molecule: transfer RNA, 73 nt
Filed under: Ailuropoda melanoleuca (giant panda)
Lineage: Eukaryota; Metazoa; Chordata; Mammalia; Carnivora; Ursidae
Rfam family: tRNA
About the family: Transfer RNA (tRNA) molecules are approximately 80 nucleotides in length.
Source: Rfam by way of RNAcentral
ACCUGGCUGGCCCAGUCUGUAGAGUAUGUGAUUCUUAAUCUCAGGGUUGUGAGUUCAAGCCCCACGUUGGGCG